UUCUCAGCGCGUGUUUCAAAACAACAUUCGGGAAUGAAACGCCUUUUAAACGUGCGGUUCGGAUAUAUUGGGCGGUCAUCACUUCGGUCAUUGAGGCCCUUGUCAUCCGCGCAAUGUAGCCCAUUCCGUAGAUCGCAAUCGUUAAAACCGGCAAUAAAAAAUUCUCAAGAUUAGGGUUU
Molecule: small RNA, 179 nt
Organism: Rhodobacteraceae bacterium SB2
Lineage: Bacteria; Pseudomonadati; Pseudomonadota; Alphaproteobacteria; Rhodobacterales; Paracoccaceae
Rfam family: Ruegeria cis52 sRNA
About the family: Cis-encoded. Targets oligo/dipeptide ABC transporter.
Source: Rfam